This 11865-nucleotide long non-coding RNA is filed under the name Lotus japonicus. RNAcentral describes it as "long non-coding RNA (LJAP_LNC001070)". Lineage: Eukaryota; Viridiplantae; Streptophyta; Magnoliopsida; Fabales; Fabaceae. The record is from RNAcentral.
UAUGCAAAGGUUUCCAUCAAAAAAAUAUAUAUACACACACAUGCAAAGGUCAUAAAUGUACAUUUUUCUUUUUGUCAAAUACUGUGCGGUGGGUUUUCAAGAAAUACAAUUUCAAACAUUUUGUAAUAAAAGCCUUUCAUUUUUUUUUUCAACGUGGGCUUUGAAUUUAAAUGAUUAAAAGAUAGAAAGGCUGGUCCAGCCCAUUAAUAUACAUACUAACCAGCUAAACCCUAAAAUUAUCUUAAUGUACUCAUUCCUAUUCAGCUUCUCUAUGCUGCCGCCAAACCAGAGAACUUCUCUGUGAACGCAAACAAGGAGCAUGGUGAAUCAAAGCAUGUAUGGCCGCACACCGGGUCACUCUUCUCCUCCCUUUCUCCGCCCUUGCGCAUAAAAAUGCCCCUCCAACCCUCGAAAGUACCCUUGCUGCUACACGGCUAGGCGUCUUGGAGCCCUGGUGAAGGCUGAAGAGUGAAGAAGCCUACACGGAACACGGCGGCGAUGUUGGAUUGCAAGGAAGAAUGGGUUUUCAGUUUAAGAAACCCUACACAAAAAGUCAGAAACGACGCAGUUCUGUAUUUCAGUUUUUUUCUUUUACAUAGCGAACCGGUCCAACCGUAAGGACCGAGUCACCGGUUUUUUAUUGAACCGGCCGAUUUUUUCCGGUUCAUAGCAGGUGGAUUGCAUGGCCGAUCCGAAGCUCGGCUCGAACCGACUUAGGGUCCGGUUCCCGGCUCAACCGGUCGAACCGACCGGUUCGAGCCGAGUCUGAUAACACUGGGAUUAGAUAUUAGAUAUUAGAUAUUUUUACAUAAAAAGUUAAAAACAAACAAGUUUAUAAAUAAUAACAAGAAAUCGAGUUAAAAAAAUAAUAAUAACAACAAAUCCUCACAGUCUGAUCUUUAUUUAUGUUCACUAAAAAAUACUCGAUGAGAAGUUGAAAAUUAGUAGGAAAAAAAUAAGUUGAUUUUUUUUUAUUAGAUUGGGUUGUAUUGAGAUCUAAACUUGAGAGUUGUACUAUAAUUUUAAGUGCAAAAUGCUUUAAUUGCAUUAUUUUUAGUCUUUCAUCCAUUGCAAUUGUCUAAUUUGAGUCUCAUGUUUAAAAAAAGUACUUCCUUCCACCAAACGACCCCAAACCCCUUUGUCUCAACCCACCUCAAAAGACAAACUCCUUUGACCACCGUCCACCACCAUCACCUCCGACAGCCAAACCCAAGCCACCUCCUAAUCUCUCCCUUUUUGUCACACUUGCGCCAAAAACCCACCAAAGGAACCCAAGCCACCAGAAUUAGCUCUUUCCCUUCCCCAAAUGAACCCAACCGCCUUACCCCUCACUUCUUCAUCUCCUUCCCCAACAUCUGAACAUCAUAUCCUCAAUGACCACUUUCUCACCCAUCCGAGUCAAUCCUAGCUGCUUCGUCCUUGAAAAGAAACAACAAUUCCAAAUCGAAUUCCCACACCUCAAAACCAUAGAUUCAAAACAAUUGCGAAGAGGUAAAGAGAUAGAAUAGGAUGGGGACAUCUAUCUAUAAUCUAUCUAUCUAUAAUCUAUCUAUAAUCUAUCUAUCUAUCUAUCUAUAUCUAUCUAUAAUCUAUAAUAUAUAUAAAAGCAGAGUUUCUGCAGCCUUGAGGGCAAAUAAGUCGUUCAACAAUUCAAUGCACAAUAAUCUAAUUUUUGGCAUGGACAUUUUAGUAAAAGUACACAUUAUUUCCAACAGAUGAAAUUACAGCCGUCAGAUCAUUUCCAAUUUCUUGAGUUCUUGCAUUUCAGCCGUUUCUGAUUUCUAGCGACACUUUCUUCUCGCUUACGUUCCAGCCGUUUCAAGUGACAAUUUAUUGAGAGAAAAUUAGGGGUUUGAACGUUAUCUUAUAUUUAAUUGAUUUAGACAUGUAGUUCACCCACUGACAAUUUUCAUUCAGUACCUCCUAUCUGAUGCGAGAGAGAGGACAGGUAAAUUUUACAUUCUCAUUUCUUCUCCUGAUGUAUUUAUGUUUCCUAUCUGCCUAUCGGUUUCCAGAAACUUUGCCCCAGGAUCUAUUAGCUUUGCUCCAAGCGGUGGUGGGUUGAGGGUUUUGAUUUCGAACAGUGUGCGGAAGACCAUCCAGAACAUCAAGGAGACACGGGUAAGGGAGGAGGAUGAGAUUUAUGCAAUGCUCAAGUUCAGUAUUUUCCCCAGCGAGACUGCACAGAAGCUUCUCCUUCAUGGUAUCAUCAUUUACUUAUGUUUCUUUGUUGUCGGGUUAUUUCAAUCUUGAUUUUGAACUCUUCUGUUCAUUUUUUAGCCACCAGUCCUGAAGAUACUAUGAAGCAGUGUAAGUCUUUGUUCCAAGUAUUUUCCACAGCUACGUGUUACUGAGAAGAGAUGAGAGCAAUUGUACAAAUGACGCUUAUACUCGGAAGCAAGAGGUACAACACCAAAACCUUUCAACACUAUUCUGCUGCCAUAUUUUUUGCAGUGGUUCAAUCAAUGUUUCUUUUAAUCAUGCUUCAGCUUUUUUGUUUUCUUCUACUGAUGGCUUGGCAUAUUUCUACCUGAUAGCUACCUCUAUUAUGUGUUAAAAUUAUCUUUGUGCCAGAUUCACUAAUUAGAAAAAAGACUGAAAGACCAAUUUGAGGUCUGAAGCAUGUUGGCUCUUGGAUACAGCCCAAGGUUAGUACUAAAGCAGAAUUUUUUAUUUUUUCUCCAGUUAUGCGCAAAUUCUUAUGAAACUAAUUUACUUCAACAGGUUAUUAUUUUAUAUAUUGAGUGUUAUAUGUCUCUUGCAAUGGAAAAAAAAUAAUCUGAGGAGGAGGAUGAUACACCAGAAAUUCAAUAUUAUAAAGGAGAGAAGCACCUAUUUGAGAAAGGUAGAUUACAACUAGGACAGUUGCGGCUCUAAAAUUUAUAAAAUUCCCCUAAAGUCAUUUUGGUACUUUACUUUCUACUAAAAUUUGAAUGGCAUUUUGUGCUAUUAUCUUUUGACUAUCCUACUAAGUUUUAGAUAUUAAAUAACGUGUUUAAAAAAAGUAUAUAUUUCUUUUUUGGAACACUUAAAUUAAUUCAUUUAAAAUUGGAGGGUCAUCCUUGCAGAAAUAAGGAGAAUGGAAUAUUCUACAUGGAAACAUCUUCUAAGAGUGCAGAGAACAUUCUUCUCUAUGAAAUAGGCAUGUUCUGAAUGUCUUUAAAAUACUUUGUCUGAAAUGUAGUUAUAUUAAACCAAUCAAAUUCAAGUUUUUGGAAUAUAUAGCAUACAAAUUGGAUCCAUGUGUAUAUGUCCUAAUUUGAUAUUAAUAGGUACUUGGAUGUUGUUUGGAACGAACCAGGAAAACGUCCCACCUUGAUCGGAGGUAUAAUUCAUGCCAUCUCUCAUUUAUAAUUAACUACAUGUUUCUGCAUUAUUGUCAUGAUUAGAAUUUUGAUUAACUAUUGAUCUACCAACUACGCAGGUUCAACUAUAUGGCUAUAUCAGAAUGUCACCCUUUUCUUUUAAUCAUUUUUGGGUCCUGAACCCUCCAAUUUUCACCCUUUUUUCUCCAUCUUGAAUAAAAUGUACUAACUUAAUUUCCUUAACUUAUUUUCCUUUCCAUUGUGUUAACAGGUGAAGUGCUUCUUAUUGUCCUCUUCCGCUCCGGUAAGUCCUCAAUUUUUUUCUUCAUGUAUUUCCACUUCGACAUCUGAAGACUGAGCUUCUUUCAGUUUCAUGUUUUGAUUUCGGCCUAUUGUUUUCUCACUCAUGCUUCCUUUCAAUUUGUGCUUCUAUUGUCCUCUCUUGGUAAAAUCAUCUUUUAAUUUCAUUUUGUGUGACUUUUCAGUUCGACCCUUUGUUUUUACAAGCAAAAUGUUUGUAUUUAUCAUACACAAUUACACAUAUUCUUAUUGUAGUUACAGUCGUUACAUUUCUCCCUUUUUUUCAUUUUAAAUAUGGUGUACUGAUUACUCUAAAUUUUCUCUUUAUGUUAACAGGUGAAGUGCUUCGUGGUCCUCUUCCGCUGCUGGGAAGAAUUCUUAAUUAUUUGUCUUCUUCGUGUAUUUUCACUUCGACAUCUGAAAGCUUUUGUUGCAUGUUUUGAUUUAGGUGUUUUCCGAAGAAUUUUCGCCCGAAAGUUUUUGGAUUUUGAUUUUAAAACCGCUUUAUUGUUGUGAAAAUUGAACAUCGUUUAGUGUGUAGUUGAUGUAUAGAAGUUGAGUAUUCAUUUACACUCAUAUUUCUCUUUCAUCUCAUUUCCACACAUUUUUCUUCUUAUAUCUCUCUUCUAUUCUUAUCAUAUCAUCUAUCAUAUCUCUCAUUUCUUCUUUAUCCCACAAGGUGGAGGUGAAUAUUUCAUUUGUGAACAAAACAUUUUUGUCAGAAACGGGAAAGAAUAAUUUGAUGAUUCUUCUUCUAAGUGUUGCACAGUGCACACCAUGAAAUGGAAUAAAUAUGAAUUAAAAUGUGUUCCCUUCCUGUAGCUAUGUAAUAAUGUAAUUUUUUUAUCUUUGUUCCCUUCCUUCAACAUCUUGAGACACAUCACUAGGUAGCCAUUAUAGCUCACCUAAAUUUAAUCUAUAGAGCCUUUGUUCUUCAGAAUAUCCACAUUAAUUGGAGUGUGGAUAUUAUAUUUAGGUACUUCAUUUUGAAUUUUGAAGUUCUCAUCUUGGUUCUAGCAUUCUACAUUUUCACGCAUAGAAAGUGUCUAUAUGUAAAUGCAAACUCUUACAGUUUCAAUAUCGUCACACAAGAAAAUCCGGAUUUUGGACGUUUACUGAGGUAAUUUGCAUUUGAGACUAAAUUUUGAAUUAAACAUAAUUAUUAAUUACAAUGAAAAAAACACGUCCAAUGAACUGUUCACGACACACACAAAAAUAGUUUAAUCAAUUGGACAAAAACUUUACCACUCUGAAAAUUCUAUUUACAUGUGCUUACUAAAAUAGAAGUUAUAAAAUAAAAUAAAUAUUCUAAAUGUGGUACUUCAAGGAGACUUUAGGCAAAUUUUUAACAGUUGUGUAUAAAGGUAGAAUGCAGGAUAUUAUCCAUGCCAUUAUCAAUGUCUCUUAUCUUUGAGAUCAUUGUCAGGUACUUUCACAUUUAUCCUUAUAAUGUCAGUUUUCAAUUUAAUCAAUCAUUACAAAACCAAAUAAAAAUUAACCCAUUAGAACAUAUAUUUCUAACAAUAAUAUAAUUUAAUAAAAUAUUUUAUGCUUCACAAAUUUGACCCAAAAAAAUCUAAAAUGUUUACUGUAAACUAUUAACGCCAACUAUAAUAAUAGUUCUUAUUUUUGGAACAUGAGUAGGCACUUUAAUUGACAAAAAAUAUGAGACUAAACCGGAAGAUUAGAUGCAGAGGUUGCUGAGUAAGAUGAAAAUGCAGGUAAGCACAUAUAAGAUGAAAAUGCCCUGAACAUCCCUCGAGAAUUUUUUAUUCCACAUACAAGUGAUCCAAUGACUUCUAUAGUUAAGUCUACUUAUCCAUCUUUCCUUGAAAACUACAAAGAUCCACAAUUGUCAACAUUGUGCUAUUUUAACUCCUACAAAUGAGAUCGUUGAUAAUUUGAAUAAAUACAUGAUGUCAUUGUUGCUUGAAGAAGAGAAAACUUAUUUGACUGACGAUAUGUAUUCAUACAACAAUUGUGACAGCCAAUAUGAUAUCCACACACCAGAGUUUUUAAACACAAUACACUCUUCCGGUUUGUCUAAUUGUCAAUUAAGGUUAAAAAUUGGUGCUUCAAUAAUGCUUAUAAGAACAUAGACCAAUCAACUGAAAUGUGUAAUGAUACACGUUUGAUUAUUACUCGAAUGAGGACAUAUGUUUGGAAGCAAAGGUUAUCUCUAGAGCAAAUGCCAGACAAAGAGUGUCUGUACCAAGAUUAACAUUAACUUCAUCAGAUAGUAUAAUUCCUUUUAAAUUUCAAAGUACACAAUUUCCUUUAGCAUUCUCUUUUUCCAUGAUAAUAAACAAAAGUUAAGGACAAUCAUUAAAAAAGUGGGGUUAUAUUUUCCAAAUAAGUGUUUUCACAUGACCAAUUAUAUGUAGCAUUCUCCAAAGCCACGCACCGUAAAGAUUAAGAAUCUCUAUUUGCGAUAGUGAUGACAACAAUAUUCAUAGAACUUCAAAUGUAAUUUACAAAUAAGUCUUUCACAGUUUUAUAUGAAGAAGAUCUUUUUACAGGAAAUGUACAACGAUACACUCUCAGCUUUAUUCUCAUUGUAAUUAAUUCAAUUGCAAAAAACUUUCGUGGCUAUUUUUAGUAAAUAUAUGUUACUUUAACUCCAUGCAAUAAAUUAUUCAAUAGAUAUAAAAAUAUCAUCAAUUGAGCAUUUAGUAAAACAAAUACAAAAGAUAAACAUAAAAUAGCAACUCAAAAAAAAACAAACUAUAAGUACAGAAAAAUUACAAAUUUUUGAUUUCAUAUAUCUAAAAUAAAUUUAGUUUGUUUAAUCCAUAAAAUAUCUCUAAAAAACAAGCAAGUUAAAAGAAACACACAAAAAUGAAUAUCCCCGUGCAUCGCACGGGUAAAAGUACUAGUUUAAAAUACUAGGGAAAGAUACAUGUAUUUAUAGUUCAUCAAAAUCAAGAUUAAUAUUGAAAACAUAACUAUUUGAUUGAACUAACAUCAUUCAGCUUAAAAAUUAUUUUGAGCUUAUUUCUCCUCAAAUUAGCUUACGAAUAAACGGCUGUUGUCAUAAGUGCUCAAUUAAACUUUUCACCCAAAAUGCACCCAAAAUUUUAAUAGUGAAAGCUAACAUACAAUGUACCAUGAGUUCCGAAUUACACUGCAACACCAUUAUCCAGGAGUAAGCAAGAGCUAAAUUGGCCAAACAUGAAAACCAUUACUUAUGAGCCAAACCUGAGUGGGCAUUUUAUACUCCCAGGUAAUUAAGAAGCAAAAACAAAAACAAAUAAUAAACAUCCAACUUCCAAGGGAUCUGAAGCCCCUUAUAAAGCAUCACAUAGAACAUUGAGUUAUAUAGUAAUAUAUCAUCAUAAUCUCCGCCAGACAUGGGGCGCUUCUUAACAAGGUAAAACUUCAUGGCUUGCUUAUUGAAAAGUAACUUGGUUGCCAAGAAAUAAACAUAAUUGACCUCACUGUGUCCACCAAUGGAGGAAGUCCUUGCGCCUAUUGAUCUUCUUUUGCAGCUGAAGGAGUCCAUACAGCAGAGCCUCAGCAGUUGGAGGACAGCCCGGAACAUAUAUAUCAACAGGAACAAUCCUGUCACAUCCCCUUACAACAGAGUAAGAGUAGUGGUAGUAUCCUCCACCGUUAGCACAGCUUCCCAUUGAGAUGACCCACCUAGGCUCAGGCAUUUGGUCAUAAACCCUGCAAAAAAAAUUCAGCAUUAAGUAGAAAGCUAAUGUUAAUUAACAUAAUUGGUAAGUCCAAGACAGAACAUGAAUCAAGUUCCAAUAUUGGAAAUUCGGAAGCUCAGGGGAUGGGGAGAUAGAAAGAGCACAUUAAAAUCAAUUACUAAUGUUUUGUGAUCAUCUUAUGUGGAAAAUUCCUAACACCAAGAAAAUGAGGUAUCACAAUAGACAUAACUGCUGGCAUUAUGAGAUAUGUUAAUCACGAUUGUAAAGAGUAAUUAGAAAAGGAAUGCACUCAUGUUAUACAAAAAUUUAACGUAGCGUUUCAUGUCAAGAUUGAUGAAUGUUUAGAGGAAUGGAUAUAAAUUUUUCAUACAACAAGGUCAUGUGAAAUCUCAACAUAAGCAUGCAUUCUCAAAUAAUUUAGACUUCCAAAGACCAACAAAUUCUACAAUUGAAAUUAAAUAUCAAAAUAAAAGUUGUUGAGCCCUCCAAAUGGAACAGCAGGCUGAAUAAAGUUCAGUAUCAAAACUUAUUAAUGAUAUAUUGAUAGCUAAAGGUGAGCAACCUAGAAUUUUGUAAUGAAGAAUUGUACAAGAACUAAAAAGAGUGACAUGCUUCAUACUCUUCUACUGUAACACCUGGACCCGUUUGAAAACUCAUAGUGUUGGUGGAGUGGAAUGGAGGGGAGGGGAGAUAUUUUUUUAAUCUAUAUUCUUUGGUUCAAAUUUUAGAGGGGGGGGGGGGGAGAGUUUUGUAUUGCAUGCAAAAGUGGGGGAUUUAAAGGGAACAUAAUUCACAUGAGAAAAAUGUCCUUCCUCAUGUUUUGAAACUCAAAAUUAUAAUUUAAACAUAAGGGUAAUAAAAGUACAUUCAUUUUAAAAUCCUUCCUCUCCCAUCCUGAAACAAAAAAGAAAGGGGGUAUCUCUCCUCCCCUCAACCAAAUAUGAUAAGAAUUAAAAUAUCCCCUCUCCCUCCCCCUACCCUCAACUAAAGCCUGUCCCUCCAUUGAACCGAAGACACCCUUAUAUACAAACAGGGCAUACCUCAGAAUGUUCACAUCUCUCACAGCCAGCGUAGAGUGAGACAAUCAUUAUCCACAUAAGGACCUCUUUUGACAGGCAGUAUCAUUCAAUUAAAAAUGAUUUCAAGAACAACGUUCAAGCACAAAGAGAAAAUUCUGUUAAAAACUAGGUAAUUAGGUGCACGACAGGGAGAAAAGCAAGGAAUUGGAAAUCGGUGGGGGCAAUUGGUUUGGGAGGGAGUAUUCUACAACUUACACUCACAACGGGUAGGGGCAGUAACCUGAUUCUAAGUGAAAUGGAAUAAGAAAGAAAUGGAAGAAGGUGGACAUGGCAAGCAACAUUUUGAUUGAGGACUGGGAAGAUGGGAAGCAGCCCCCUCAAACACUACAGACUACAGUUUCUCUGUCAUUUUUCAAUUUCUGUUAGUGUUCAUCUUCAGUAUUUUGAAAUCCUUAUCAGAUACUGAUAUCAAGAGAAUGAGGUUUGUUCAAUAAAACGUAUUCUAGUUCCGGUUCCCUAUCAGGCUCCUAAAUGAUUGCAAUAUCAAACAAUACUUAAUCAAAACAAACGAAACUCACUAGCAUUUGCGCGAUUAAGCCGACAGGAUUAUUAGUUCUAUGACCUUUUUCCCCACAAAUUAGUCUCAGAAAUCCUCCCUCGAAUAAAGGUGCUAAUACACAAAAGAUACCAACCAUGAUUCUUCAUCAUCUAUAUAACAGCCUAAAAACCCCAUGAAAGCAUCGAUUCUUCCAAAGAAGGCCCAAUUAUCUGAUAUGACAUUCAUCCAAACACAAAUUUGUAACAAAAUCAGCAAAUUAGGGUUUCUACUGUUCUAUAUGAUUUAGAAUCUAGCGAAUAGAAAGAGCAAUUGAAAGGAAUCAAAUGAAGAAAACCCUAGAAAAGCAAAAAAGGGGCAAGGGAAGAGAGGAGUACUUGCGAAGAGCAGGGGCCAUCUUGUUGGUGAGAGUUCCAGCGACGAUCAUGCAAUCAGACUGACGAGGGCUAGGCCUGAAAAUGAUCCCGAAGCGAUCGAGAUCGUAGCGGGCGGCACCGGUGUGCAUCAUUUCGACGGCGCAGCAGGCGAGGCCGAAGGUCAUGGGCCAGAUGGAGCCGGUGCGAGCCCAAUUCAUGAGAUCGUCGACCUUGGAGAUGACGUACUCCACCGCCUUGGGGACGCCGGUGGGGGAGGAAGCCGAUGGAGGCGAUGGCGGAGCAUAGGGUGAGGGUGUGGGUGAGGAGAAGGAAGGGAGGGUUGUGUGAAGGGAAACCACCCGCUGAGGUGACACCAGGUGUGGGAAGCGUGAGGCGGUUCGACUCAGAAGAGCCAUCGUGGUUCGGUUGCAACCAGGUGGGUGGGUGAGGAUUGAAUCGCAGGAAUAGAACUUCGGUGGUGCCUCUCUUUCUCUCUCUAACGUUUUAAAUUUUAUGGCCAAGCCAAGUAAUGUACGUGGUGCUUGUAUAAAUCACAUGCUUAAUGUAUGUACCUACUUCCUUAUUUAGCACUAAGUGGUUUAAUGUUUGAUUUUUAACGAAAAAUUAUUCUUACGGCCAUCGGCGUGAGGACUUCUUGGCAGGGGCAUGUAUAAACAUUUUAGGCACUAAGGCGAAAAUGUUGAGUGAUUUUUUUUACAAUAAUGAUACUUGAAAUAUUAUAUAUCAAUUUUUUAUAUCAAGAAAAAAUGCGGAAUCAAAAUCCCUAAUGCUUACGCCUUACAUCACAACCAUAGGUCCCCAUUUAAAACACAAGACUUCACCCAGCCAAGCAAACCAAAAUACUUAACAGUAAAAAUCUCAACAAGUGCCAUAGAGCUUAAACCCAUAACCUAAUAAAGACAAACACAAAUAAAAAAAAACUAGAAAGGAUAAGAAACAGAUGGCAUAACAACACCUGACAUGUAAGUAGCUCCAACACAACCACUAGAUCACCUUUGCGGUAAAUCUUUCAACCAGAAAAAGUUGAAGUCAAAAGAAAAUCGUAACCUCAAUGCUCUUGACUAAACGCACACAAAAAGAAAGAUGGCCAACCCAAACUCUACUUCAAGAUAUACCACCUUCAUGUCUUGCAAAAGAAACUAAAAACCUAUAACCUGAAAAACUCAAACUGCCAACAACAGCCACCAAUGUCAGCCUCAACCCACAUGUUUUGUUGCCGUGAAGACACACCAACCCACCAUCAAAAGCAUCAUGAUAAAAAACCUGAAACCCUACAACAACAACAACAACAACAACAACAACAAACCUCAAAGCCACAAGAUCCACGACACCCAUGAAGCAUAAACGAGCAACGACGAUGAACAGAGCCAAGAGGCUAAGCCCUUGGCGACUCAAAUGAAGACGAGUAGCAAGAUCGACAAAUGGACCACAUCAACCCGAUCAAGGAGUGACAACAGAGAGGAGGAGGAACUAGGGGUUUCCACCGACAAAGGACGACCGCAGUUGUCGGAUUGGAAGCCAGAGGACAAAACAGACGUCCUUGAACAACAAAUGCCAAGAUCGUCAGAUCUCAAAGACAUCGGUCGGAGGCAAAUGAAAAGAAGAGGGAGCUAACGAAAAGAGAGGAUUAGAGGGGGUUGCAACCACGCAGGAAGGUGGUGCGACAGCCAUCCAAGGAACCCUAGAUCAUGACGUACUAUAGUUUUUUUUUUUGGAUAAAAGAAUUGCAAAAGAAAGAAAAAAAAAAUAGGAGAAAAAAAAACUACUGCCUCAUCAAGAAGUUGAAAAUAUACUAAGUUCUUUAAAAGAAUUUUUCCUCAUCUCUACUUGUAAAUUUAUCAAUCAAGUUAGCUAUUUGUAUUUUGCUAUAUUAAGUGUCUUUGAGUGUUUUAGAUGCUCACAAUAAAACUUCCCUCAAAACUAUUGUUACUCGUUCAUAUAACCCAUUAUAUAUUCAUACCUGUUUUUAACUCACUUGAGAUUUGAAUCUUAUUUUUCACAAUGGCUUAAUCGUUGUUGUUGUUGAAGCAUCUAAUAGGACCAACAUAAAAUAGAUUGAGAGGGGUAAAGUUUAAUUUGGAGCUUGACUUGUAAGAAACUAAGAAUUCUUAAGAUAUAUGCAUUCAACAAGCUAAUUUUGAUUUUGCUAGCUAGUUUAUGAUUUUUGAAUACCAAUCAUUCAACAAAGGAGAUGAUCUGGUUAUGUAGAAACGGUCUACAUAGAUUUAUAAAUGUUCGCCUAUAUAAGGGGGAAGGGAAGAGAGGAGUACGUACUUGCGAAGAGCCGGGGCCAUCUUGUUGGUGAGAGUGCCGGCGACGAUCAUGCAGUCAGACUGGCGAGGGCUAGGCCUGAAAAUGAUGCCAAAGCGAUCAAGAUCGUAGCGGGCGGCACCGGUGUGCAUCAUUUCAACGGCGCAGCAGGCGAGGCCGAAGGUCAUGGGCCAGAUGGAGCCAGUGCGAGCCCAGUUCAUGAGACUGUCAACCUUGGAGAUCACGUACUCCACCGCCUUGGGGACGCCGGUGGGGGAGGAAGCCGAAGGGGGUGGUGGCGGAGCAUAGGGUGUAGGUGUGGGUGUAGAGAGGGAAGGGAGGGUUGUGUGAAGGGAAACCACCCGUUGAGGUGACACCAGUUGUGGGAAGCGUGAGGAG